AUUGAACGCUGGCGGCAUGCCUUACACAUGCAAGUCGAACGGCAGCACGGGAGCAAUCCUGGUGACGAGUGGCGAACGGGUGAGUAAUAUAUCGGAACGUGCCCAGUCGUGGGGAUAACGUAGCGAAAGCUACGCUAAUACCGCAUACGAUCUAUGGAUGAAAGCGGGGGAUCGCAAGACCUCGCGCGAUUGGAGCGGCCGAUAUCAGAUUAGGUAGUUGGUGAGGUAAAGGCUCACCAAGCCGACGAUCUGUAGCUGGUCUGAGAGGACGACCAGCCACACUGGGACUGAGACACGGCCCAGACUCCUACGGGAGGCAGCAGUGGGGAAUUUUGGACAAUGGGCGCAAGCCUGAUCCAGCAAUGCCGCGUGCAGGAUGAAGGCCUUCGGUU
RNAcentral lists this ribosomal RNA (392 nucleotides) under uncultured bacterium. RNAcentral's name for it is "bacterial SSU rRNA". It matches the Rfam family "Bacterial small subunit ribosomal RNA", at positions 30 to 423 of the family's 1533-position model. The record is from RNAcentral.